RNAcentral lists this ribosomal RNA (315 nucleotides) under uncultured bacterium. RNAcentral's name for it is "bacterial SSU rRNA". It matches the Rfam family "Bacterial small subunit ribosomal RNA", at positions 28 to 346 of the family's 1533-position model. The record is from RNAcentral.
GAUGAACGCUAGCGGGAGGCUUAAUACAUGCAAGUCGAGCGGUAAGGUUUUCGGACCCUAGAGCGGCGAACGGGUGAGUAACGCGUACGAAACCUACCUUUAAGAGAGGAAUAGCCCUGGGAAACUGGGAGUAAUGCCUCAUAGUAUUCAUUUACCGCAUGGUUUAUGGAUUAAAGUUCCAACGGUAUAAGAUGAGCAUGCGUCCCAUUAGUUAGUUGGUAAGGUAACGGCUUACCAAGACGAUGAUGGGUAGGGGUCCUGAGAGGGAGAUCCCCCACACUGGUACUGAGACACGGGACCCAGACUCCUACGGGA